CAUGGUUGCUAUCUGUUAAUGGUUUUCUUGUAUCCAUUUUCGAGUCUUGGAUUCGCGGGGAAGGAGAGAUGGUCGAUGGGUAAUUGGCUUUUCAGUCUUGGAUUCGCAAUCCACCUGAGCUCGGGACUUGAAGUGAUUUUUACACAAUUUUACCUGUGGACAUGUUCUGCUCAGCUGAAGAAUGAUCAGCUGGUGAUGGCGCAGCAAAAGAGAAAGAGAAGAGACAGGAGAAGAAAAUGCAGAAGAGGAGGAAGGGAAAUAGGCGGAGCUGAGCAAAAUGUCAACAAAACCCCAAGCAGUUUGUCUCUCAGCUUUUGCAUGGUGCCUAAGCAAAUUCCGAAUAUAUCGUCAAAGAGGGCUAGUGUUGAACCUUCCCGAGAGAAGCUAUCUGAAUGGACUCCUGGCAGAGAUAAUUCCAUAUAAUGGCCAGCCAUGUAAAGCAGACUUAAUUGUGCUGAGGAAAGCAGGAUGGAGACCGACUGCAGAACAUUAAGAAAGAGCAAGGGCAGUUUUACAAUUCCUCAUCAGUUUGGUGUAAGAUUGAUCUCUGAAGCAUAAUGGGCCUAAGAGCCUUGAGUGUAGGACCAGCCUCUUUAAUUUCAGCAAAAGAGCAGGGAAAAUUUGUCUUUGUUUGCUUCUAUUUCGGAAUCCCGCGGCCUUCUUUUCUUCAGAUGGAAUGAAUAGCUGAGUAGCAUGGCCUUUCUAUUAAUGCAAGUAUAGCUGAUCGGGAGACAGUCCAAAGGCUGAUUUUGUUUCUGGAAGUAUCCAUCCUGAUUCAGAGGUUGCUGAUAAUAUCAUUUGGAGAACUUCUCCUACCAAUGAUGUGGAUUCCAUUAAAUCGUUCAGAGAUACGAAACUGCUGCGUAUUCUUUUUAGUUGUAGUCCAAGUUGAGUUGUAACUCUUUUUUUAGGUCAAGCGUGAUCAGAGAACCGGCUGGUUAUUUUUGUGGGAAGAAGACUUCGUAGGGUGAUCCUACCAUGUCUAUUGUAAUCAUCUAAGUUGGUUGUUGGUUGUACCUCUUUUAUUUUAUCUUUUUGAACCAUAUACCAACUUGGUUGCUAAUGUCCUGUUGGUUUUCUGUUGUAAUCAUCUAGUUCCAAAUGAAGAGAGAUUUGUGAACCUCA
This is a long non-coding RNA of Eucalyptus grandis, 1125 nucleotides long. RefSeq lists it as uncharacterized. NCBI's taxonomy places the organism in Eukaryota, Viridiplantae, Streptophyta, Magnoliopsida, Myrtales, Myrtaceae. The transcript has 5 exons. The record is from RefSeq and is a predicted model, not a curated record.